Molecule: unclassified non-coding RNA, 334 nt
Filed under: soil metagenome
Description: partial contains 5.8S ribosomal RNA, internal transcribed spacer 2, and large subunit ribosomal RNA
Rfam family: 5.8S ribosomal RNA (bases 1-120)
Source: RNAcentral
GAUGAAGAACGUAGCGAAAUGCGAUAAGUAAUGUGAAUUGCAGAAUUCAGUGAAUCAUCGAAUCUUUGAACGCACAUUGCGCCCGCCAGUAUUCUGGCGGGCAUGCCUGUUCGAGCGUCAUUUCAACCAUCAAGCCCCAGGCUUGUGUUGGGGACCUGCGGCUGCCGCAGGCCCUGAAAACCAGUGGCGGGCUCGCUAGUCACUCCGAGCGUAGUAAUACAUCUCGCUCAGGGCGUGCUGCGGGUUCCGGCCGUUAAAAGCCUUAUUUACCCAAGGUUGACCUCGGAUCAGGUAGGAAGACCCGCUGAACUUAAGCAUAUCAAUAAGCGGAGGA